Molecule: long non-coding RNA, 817 nt
Filed under: Panax ginseng (ginseng)
Lineage: Eukaryota; Viridiplantae; Streptophyta; Magnoliopsida; Apiales; Araliaceae
Description: long non-coding RNA (PGIN_LNC016601)
Source: RNAcentral
CCAUCUUUAAGGAGAUUGACUUUUAUCCCACUAUGAUAACUACAAUGAUAAGGAAUCAUAUUCUAAUUCGGGGACAGGGCAAUAAGGAGGUGUAAUCUACUAUAAAUACACGGCUAUACCUUAAUUAACAAGUAACACACAUAACAACUCAUUGAGCACUAAAACAAUUAGCCUUCAUUGUUAAUCUAUUCUCCGGCCUAUACUUAUUCUCACACCAGAGUUAUCCCCCGACAAUUUGGCCAUCAGGCUCCUCAUAGAGUUUACUAGUUUUUGUGCAGAAUUUGACGCGUUGUUUGGUGAUUGGGUGCGUUGACGGAUUUUGGCGUUAACACCGACUUAAUCAUUUAAAUAUACAAAAAAUUUCAUUUACCAACUAAAUCAUUUACAUAAACCUAGUAAAUAAAAAUCCAAAUACAGAAAUACAGAGAGAUAAAAUAAAAGCAGAGUACAGAUUGACCAAUUCCCGCCGCCGACGUGAUCCCUGUUGCUCAUGCAAAGGUUGAUGGCGGUGUUUUUGCUGCAAUUACUACUAUUGUAAGCGAUGUUGAAGGUACGACAUUAACAUCGCCUUCGCCGAUCGACUGCUAUUGCUUUUGUUGUUUUGGAAGUGAAUAACCAAAAAAUUCUGCUAAUUUGACUCUGAGUUUAUGAAAGAAUUUCAAGAACCGUAACAUCAAAUUACAACAAAGAAUUAAGGAUUUUCUCGAAAAAAGACGUGAGGGAUGAAGAGGAAGAGACCGAUUAAAUUUGUAAUAAGGAGCACGAAAGAGAAUACGUCAAUUGUUAGAUCGAAUUCGUGUGACAACCCAAGUUAACU